CGUUAUUACCGAGAGGCAUUGUAACACAAUAUUGAGAGGCGGGUUUCUUUACGUGAACAGGCACAGGGUAGGAGACACAUGUACCUGCAAGAGGUGUGAUCGAAACGUUGACUCCUGUGGGCACAGAUGGACGAGUUGAGCUGGCAGUGAUGGGUCGACCGUGGCUGCAGAGUGGGCUCAGGUCUCGGAACACAGUCGCAGCGCUCCACGUCUAUUUCACAGUCGGGCAUCCAUGAACCGAGUGGAAACUCUGAGCAGGAGGCAAAGAUAUACGGAGGAUUUCCAGGCUGUAAGACUCGGCGGCGUAGCGCGUGGAGCGGUGUGAGCCCACUGACGGUGGAGAGGAGAAGGUCUCUGGCUGCUGCGGCAGCCUCAUACGACACUUCCACAACUUCCAGUCAGGAAAGUCCGUCAGUCUGAGCAGCUCGUCCAGGCUGGAGGCCGAGCGCACCUUUCUCUCCCACUGCUUCAUGACCUGCAGGGAUCACACGGGAAGUCACAUUACACAUAUUACUCAUCACAUUUAGAUGUCAUUUAAAGUGUGUUUAUGCAAAACUAA
Molecule: long non-coding RNA, 559 nt
Organism: Solea senegalensis (Senegalese sole)
Lineage: Eukaryota; Metazoa; Chordata; Actinopteri; Pleuronectiformes; Soleidae
Exons: 3
Source: RefSeq, a predicted model, not a curated record